GACGAACGCUGGCGGCGUGCUUAACACAUGCAAGUCGAACGCUGAAGCUCAGCUUUUGUUGGGUGGAUGAGUGGCGAACGGGUGAGUAACACGUGAGUAACCUGCCUCCUUCUUUGGGAUAACGCCCGGAAACGGGUGCUAAUACUGGAUAUUCACUGGUCUUCGCAUGGGGGUUGGUGGAAAGGGUUUUUCUGGUGGGGGAUGGGCUCGCGGCCUAUCAGCUUGUUGGUGGGGUGAUGGCCUACCAAGGCUUUGACGGGUAGCCGGCCUGAGAGGGUGACCGGUCACAUUGGGACUGAGAUACGGCCCAGACUCCUACGGGAGGCAGCAGUGGGGAAUAUUGCACAAUGGGCGCAAGCCUGAUGCAGCGACGCCGCGUGAGGGAUGGAGACCUUCGGGUUGUGAACCUCUUUCGCUCAUGGUCAAGCCGCAACAAUGGUUGUGGUGAGGGUAGUGGGUAAAGAAGCGCCGGCUAACUACGUG
RNAcentral lists this ribosomal RNA (483 nucleotides) under uncultured bacterium. RNAcentral's name for it is "partial 16S ribosomal RNA". It matches the Rfam family "Bacterial small subunit ribosomal RNA", at positions 28 to 507 of the family's 1533-position model. The record is from RNAcentral.